UUCCUGGCCAUCUAGUGGUUAGGACUUGGCACUUUCACUGCCAGGGCCCAGGUUCAAUCCCUGGUUGGGAAA
Molecule: transfer RNA, 72 nt
Filed under: Bos taurus (domestic cattle)
Lineage: Eukaryota; Metazoa; Chordata; Mammalia; Artiodactyla; Bovidae
Also listed under: 4 other names
Rfam family: tRNA
About the family: Transfer RNA (tRNA) molecules are approximately 80 nucleotides in length. Their secondary structure includes four short double-helical elements and three loops (D, anti-codon, and T loops).
Source: Rfam by way of RNAcentral